AGCAGCCGCGGUAAUUCCAGCUCCAAUAGCGUGUAUUAAAGUUGUUGCAGUUAAAAAGCUCGUAGUUGAAUUUCGGGAUCAAGGAAUCGGUCAUGCCUUGGUAUGUACUGGUUUUAUUGGUUCUCACCUUCUAAAGAACCAUAAUGUCAUUCAUUUGAUGUUAUGGGGAAUUAGGACUGUUACCUUGAAAAAAUUAGAGUGUUUAAAGCAGGCUUACGCUUGAAUACAUUAGCAUGGAAUAAUGAAAUAGGACAUCAGAUUCUAUUUUGUUGGUUUCUAGGAUCGAUGUAAUGAUUAAUAGGGAUAGUUGGGGGCAUUAGUAUUCAAUUGUCAGAGGUGAAAUUCUUGGAUUUAUUGAAGACUAACUACUGCGAAAGCAUUUGCCAAGGAUGUUUUCAUUAAUCAAGAACGAAAGUUAGGGGAUCGAAGACGAUCAGAUACCGUCGUAGUCUUAACCAUAAACUAUGCCGACUAGGGAUCGGAUGAUGUUUAUUUUUAGUGACUCAUUCGG
This 511-nucleotide ribosomal RNA is filed under the name uncultured Glomus. RNAcentral's name for it is "SSU rRNA". It matches the Rfam family "Eukaryotic small subunit ribosomal RNA", at positions 569 to 1083 of the family's 1831-position model. The record is from RNAcentral. Lineage: Eukaryota; Fungi; Glomeromycota; Glomeromycetes; Glomerales; Glomeraceae.